UACGUAGGGUGCGAGCGUUGUCCGGAAUUACUGGGCGUAAAGGGCUCGUAGGUGGUUUGUCGCGUCGUCUGUGAAAUUCCGGGGCUUAACUCCGGGCGUGCAGGCGAUACGGGCAUAACUUGAGUACUGUAGGGGUAACUGGAAUUCCUGGUGUAGCGGUGAAAUGCGCAGAUAUCAGGAGGAACACCGAUGGCGAAGGCAGGUUACUGGGCAGUUACUGACGCUGAGGAGCGAAAGCAUGGGUAGCGAACAGGAUUAGAUACCCUGGUAGUCCAUGCCGUAAACGGUGGGCGCUAGGUGUGAGGGUCUUUUCACGACUUUCGUGCCGUAGCUAACGCAUUAAGCGCCCCGCCUGGGGAGUACGGCCGCAAGGCUAAAACU
RNAcentral lists this ribosomal RNA (381 nucleotides) under uncultured bacterium. RNAcentral describes it as "bacterial SSU rRNA". It matches the Rfam family "Bacterial small subunit ribosomal RNA", at positions 524 to 901 of the family's 1533-position model. The record is from RNAcentral.